CAUUUCCAUCUCUUUAAUUUUCUAUUUCCCUUUUUGCUGUAAAAUCGUGCAAAUCUCUUCCUCUUUAGCAUAUAUUUUUCAUCUGGUUUUCUCUCCAUUUGCAGGUCUGUCCAUGAGCCUCCAUUGUUGUGCUUUCUCUUAACUCUUCCUUACUAAUUUUGUGGCUCAUGCUUGUGGUUUAUUCCCAUUGCUUCCCCUUUUUGGUUUGGUCCUUCACUACUCUGUUUUGUCUUUUUGUCGUGCCCUAUUUUGCCAUAAAGCCGUGAGCUUCACUCGUAUCUUGGUGAUUUUGGUGCUUACCAUGAGUGUGUGUUCUGCUACUACUUAUUGCCUCUCGGUUUCCCUUGGAUAUUUUUAUGGUCAAACUGGAGAACAAGAAUAUGAAGUAUUGGAACAGUCUAAUGAUCAUAGAUGAAUGAGUGCUAAGGGUACGAGUAUUUUGGAGGAUCAUAUUUAGUAGUUUUAUCUCUAGCGGUUAUUUUGGUACGUCAAGUUAUGAUUAAUUUGGGUCUUUGUGGAGAUGUUAUUUGUUGUAUUGAGGUUUUUGUUUAGUAUUUAUGUGGAAAGAUAUGGAUUUUUGGUUCGAACAAAUAAGUUAGGUAUUUUGUGGAGUUUUUGUUUA
Long non-coding RNA from Juglans microcarpa x Juglans regia, 622 nucleotides. RefSeq lists it as uncharacterized. Lineage: Eukaryota; Viridiplantae; Streptophyta; Magnoliopsida; Fagales; Juglandaceae. The record is from RefSeq and is a predicted model, not a curated record. The transcript is spliced from 2 exons.